Molecule: ribosomal RNA, 330 nt
Filed under: uncultured bacterium
Lineage: Bacteria
Description: bacterial SSU rRNA
Rfam family: Bacterial small subunit ribosomal RNA
Source: RNAcentral
UGCGCAGGCGGUUCGCUGUGUCUGCGGUGAAAGCCCCGGGCUCAACCUGGGAAUGGCCGUGGAAACUGGCGGGCUGGAGUGUGGCAGAGGGGGGUGGAAUUCCGCGUGUAGCAGUGAAAUGCGUAGAGAUGCGGAGGAACACCGAUGGCGAAGGCAACCCCCUGGGCUGACACUGACGCUCAGGCACGAAAGCGUGGGGAGCAAACAGGAUUAGAUACCCUGGUAGUCCACGCCCUAAACGAUGUCAACUAGGUGUUGGGGGAGCGAUUUCUCAGUACCGUAGCUAACGCGCGAAGUUGACCGCCUGGGGAGUACGGCCGCAAGGUUAAA